CGGACGGGUGAGUAACACGUGGAUAACCUACCUAUAAGACUGGGAUAACUUCGGGAAGCCGGAGCUAAUACCGGAUAAUAUAUUGAACCGCAUGGUUCAAUAGUGAAAGACGGUUUUGCUGUCACUUAUAGAUGGAUCCGCGCCGCAUUAGCUAGUUGGUAAGGUAACGGCUUACCAAGGCAACGAUGCGUAGCCGACCUGAGAGGGUGAUCGGCCACACUGGAACUGAGACACGGCCCAG
RNAcentral lists this ribosomal RNA (241 nucleotides) under uncultured Staphylococcus sp. RNAcentral describes it as "partial 16S ribosomal RNA". It matches the Rfam family "Bacterial small subunit ribosomal RNA", at positions 99 to 334 of the family's 1533-position model. The record is from RNAcentral. Lineage: Bacteria; Bacillati; Bacillota; Bacilli; Caryophanales; Staphylococcaceae.